Molecule: unclassified non-coding RNA, 521 nt
Filed under: uncultured Glomeromycotina
Lineage: Eukaryota; Fungi; Glomeromycota
Description: SSU rRNA
Rfam family: Eukaryotic small subunit ribosomal RNA
Source: RNAcentral
CAGCCGCGUAAUUCCAGCUCCAAUAGCGUAUAUUAAAGUUGUUGCAGUUAAAAAGCUCGUAGUUGAACCUCGGGGUCUACCCAUUGGUCAGGCUUAAUUGUCUGUACUGGUGAGAUGGAUCUCUACCUUCUGAGGAACUUUCAUGCCAUUUAUUUGGUGUGAUGGGAAAUCAGGACUGUUACUUUGAAAAAAUUAGAGUGUUUAAAGCAGACUAUCGUCUGAAUACAUUAGCAUGGAAUAAUGAAAUAGGACGGACUGAUUCUAUUUCGUUGGUUUCUAGGAUCACCGUAAUGAUUAAUAGGGAUAGUUGGGGGGAUUAGUAUUCAAUUGUCAGAGGUGAAAUUCUUGGAUUUAUUGAAGACUAACUACUGCGAAAGCAUUUGCCAAGGAUGUUUUCAUUAAUCAAGAACGAAAGUUAGGGGAUCGAAGACGAUCAGAUACCGUCGUAGUCUUAACCAUAAACUAUGCCGACUAGGGAUCGGACGAAGUUAAUUUUAUAAUGACGCGUUCGGCACCUUACG